RNAcentral lists this ribosomal RNA (253 nucleotides) under uncultured bacterium. RNAcentral describes it as "partial 16S ribosomal RNA". It matches the Rfam family "Bacterial small subunit ribosomal RNA", at positions 524 to 776 of the family's 1533-position model. The record is from RNAcentral.
CACGUAGGGACCGAGCGUUGUCCGGAAUCAUUGGGCGUAAAGAGCGUGUAGGCGGCUAUUUAAGUCCUGCGUGAAAUCCUGCGGCUCAACCGCAGACGGUCGUGGGAAACUGGAUGGCUAGAGUGCGGGAGAGGAGAGUGGAAUUCCCGGUGUAGCGGUGAAAUGCGCAGAUAUCGGGAAGAACACCCGUGGCGAAGGCGGCUCUCUGGAACGCAACUGACGCUGAGACGCGAAAGCGUGGGGAGCAAACAGG